GCAACGUUAGCUCAAUUGGUAGAGCAAGGAGCUUUUAACUCCGAGGUUAUAGAUUCGAUUUCUAUACGUUGCACCA
RNAcentral lists this transfer RNA (76 nucleotides) under Pseudomonas fluorescens. Its description in RNAcentral is "tRNA-Lys". It matches the Rfam family "tRNA". From Rfam's summary of the family: Transfer RNA (tRNA) molecules are approximately 80 nucleotides in length. Their secondary structure includes four short double-helical elements and three loops (D, anti-codon, and T loops). RNAcentral also lists the same sequence under 3 other names. The record is from RNAcentral. Lineage: Bacteria; Pseudomonadati; Pseudomonadota; Gammaproteobacteria; Pseudomonadales; Pseudomonadaceae.